Molecule: ribosomal RNA, 466 nt
Filed under: uncultured bacterium
Lineage: Bacteria
Description: partial 16S ribosomal RNA
Rfam family: Bacterial small subunit ribosomal RNA
Source: RNAcentral
GACGAACGCUGGCGGCGUGCUUAACACAUGCAAGUCGAACGGAAAGGCCCAGCUUGCUGGGUACUCGAGUGGGGAACGGGUGAGUAACACGUGGGUGAUCUGCCCUGGACUCUGGGAUAAGCCUGGGAAACUGGGUCUAAUACCGGAUAUGACCUUACAUCGCAUGGUGUUUGGUGGAAAGCUUUUGCGGUUCAGGAUGGGCCCGCGGCCUAUCAGCUUGUUGGUGGGGUAAUGGCCUACCAAGGCGACGACGGGUAGCCGACCUGAGAGGGUGAUCGGCCACACUGGGACUGAGACACGGCCCAGACUCCUACGGGAGGCAGCAGUGGGGAAUAUUGCACAAUGGGCGCAAGCCUGAUGCAGCGACGCCGCGUGAGGGAUGACGGCCUUCGGGUUGUAAACCUCUUUCACCAGGGACGAAGCGUGAGUGACGGUACCUGGAGAAGAAGCACCGGCCAACUACGUG